This is a long non-coding RNA of Parus major (Great Tit), 376 nucleotides long. RefSeq lists it as uncharacterized. The record is from RefSeq and is a predicted model, not a curated record. Lineage: Eukaryota; Metazoa; Chordata; Aves; Passeriformes; Paridae. The transcript is spliced from 3 exons.
CUUGUUUUCAGGCACCAAAUUCCCUUUUGCCAUCGAGAAUGGAGGUUUGAAGAGCAGCACCCAAGGGAUGGUUUGCUUCUUUGCCUAUCUAUGCAUUACAAUCAAAGAAUCCCAAAUAUGAGGUAUCAACAGCAGCCCUAUGGGCCUUGGGGAAAGGGGUGAUUUUCUAGUUCUUCUGGACCUUUUUUCCCACCCUCUUGGAUCUACAAGUAUAAGCUUGCUUGUCUCAUCUCCUUCAGUUCAACAAGAAUUCCAUGUCUGAACCUUGACAGUCAAAUUUAAAACCUUGUGUCCUCUUCCCACUCCCAAAGUCAACAUGGCCCAUGAAACCUCACAGAAGGAGCAACUGGGAAUAAAAUUCUAUUUUGAGAGCCUC